GCCAGCGUGGCGCAGCGGUUCGAGCGCUGGACUACGAAUCAGGAGACCGGAGUUUGAUUCCCAGUUCCGGAG
Phrynosoma platyrhinos (Desert horned lizard) is the source of this 72-nucleotide non-coding RNA. NCBI's taxonomy places the organism in Eukaryota, Metazoa, Chordata, Lepidosauria, Squamata, Phrynosomatidae. The record is from the annotation of a GenBank genome assembly.